Molecule: long non-coding RNA, 242 nt
Organism: Myripristis murdjan (pinecone soldierfish)
Lineage: Eukaryota; Metazoa; Chordata; Actinopteri; Holocentriformes; Holocentridae
Exons: 3
Source: RefSeq, a predicted model, not a curated record
UUCUUAAGGAUGAGACAGCACCAACUGAGCAGCGCACAAUGGCCAACAGAAACACUGGGGCAUGAGCUGCAGGUGGAUGGGAGCAGUUGCGGUGUCCUUAUUUUAAAUGUUCUGGAUGAAUACCUGAAGUCGGGUUCGAUUAUGGAAGUAAAGACUGAUCCUGCAUCUGUGCAAGCUGCCAGACGACAUAUUGCCUGCAAGCUCAUUGAAAAUGGUGGUGCAGUGUGACAUAUGGGCACAUC